Molecule: ribosomal RNA, 852 nt
Filed under: Microdochium neoqueenslandicum
Lineage: Eukaryota; Fungi; Ascomycota; Sordariomycetes; Xylariales; Microdochiaceae
Description: eukaryotic LSU rRNA
Rfam family: Eukaryotic large subunit ribosomal RNA
Source: RNAcentral
AAAGAAACCAACAGGGAUUGCCCUAGUAACGGCGAGUGAAGCGGCAACAGCUCAAAUUUGAAAUCUGGCCUUCUGGUCCGAAUUGUAAUUUGUAGAGGAUGCUUUUGGUUAGGUACCUUCCGAGUUCCUUGGAACAGGACGCCUUAGAGGGUGAGAGCCCCGUACGGUUGGAUACCGAGCCUCUGUAAAGCUCCUUCGACGAGUCGAGUAGUUUGGGAAUGCUGCUCUAAAUGGGAGGUAAAUUUCUUCUAAAGCUAAAUAUUGGCCAGAGACCGAUAGCGCACAAGUAGAGUGAUCGAAAGAUGAAAAGCACUUUGAAAAGAGGGUUAAAUAGUACGUGAAAUUGUUGAAAGGGAAGGGCUUAUGACCAGACCUUUGCCUUGCGAAUCAUCCGGUGUUCUCACCGGUGCACUUCGCUUGGUUGAGGCCAGCAUCAGUUCUGGCAGUGGGAUAAAGACUUUAGGAAUGUGACUCCCCCGGGAGUGUUAUAGCCUAUUGUGUAAUACCAUUGCUGGGACUGAGGACCGCGCUUCGGCUAGGAUGCUGGCAUAAUGGUCAUCAGCCACCCGUCUUGAAACACGGACCAAGGAGUCGAACAUUUAUGCGAGUUUUUGGGUGUUAAACCCUCAAGCGUAAUGAAAGUGAACGGAGGUGAGAGCCCUUACGGGUGCAUCAUCGACCGAUCCUGAUGUCUUCGGAUGGAUUUGAGUAAGAGCAUAACUGUUCGGACCCGAAAGAUGGUGAACUAUGCGUGGAUAGGGUGAAGCCAGAGGAAACUCUGGUGGAGGCUCGCAGCGGUUCUGACGUGCAAAUCGAUCGUCAAAUCUGCGCAUGGGGGCGAAAGACUAAUCG